Molecule: ribosomal RNA, 445 nt
Filed under: uncultured bacterium
Lineage: Bacteria
Description: bacterial SSU rRNA
Rfam family: Bacterial small subunit ribosomal RNA
Source: RNAcentral
CCUACGGGAGGCACCAGUGGGGAAUAUUGCACAAUGGGCGAAAGCCUGAUGCAGCGACGCCGCGUGAGGGAUGACGGCCUUCGGGUUGUAAACCUCUUUCAGCACGGAAGAAGCGAAAGUGACGGUACGUGCAGAAGAAGCGCCGGCUAACUACGUGCCAGCAGCCGCGGUAAUACGUAGGGCGCAAGCGCUGUCCGGAAUUAUUGGGCGUAAAGAGCUCGUAGGCGGUUUGUCGCGUCUGCUGUGAAAGCCCGGGGCUUAACUCCGGGUGUGCAGUGGGUACGGGCAGACUUGAGUGCAGUAGGGGAGACUGGAAUUCCUGGUGUAGCGGUGAAAUGCGCGGAUAUCAGGAGGAACACCGAUGGCGAAGGCAGGUCUCUGGUCUGUAACUGACGCUGAGGCGCGAAAGCGUGGGGAGCAAACAGGAUUAGAUACCCGCGUAGUC